This 814-nucleotide ribosomal RNA is filed under the name uncultured bacterium. RNAcentral describes it as "bacterial SSU rRNA". It matches the Rfam family "Bacterial small subunit ribosomal RNA", at positions 60 to 866 of the family's 1533-position model. The record is from RNAcentral.
AGUCGAGGGGCAGCAUUUUAGUUUGCUUGCAACUGAAGAUGGCGACCGGCGCACGGGUGAGUAACACGUAUCCAACCUGCCGAUAACUCCGGAAUAGCCUUUCGAAAGAAAGAUUAAUACCGGAUAGCAUACGAAUAUCGCAUGAUAUUUUUAUUAAAGAAUUUCGGUUAUCGAUGGGGAUGCGUUCCAUUAGUUUGUUGGCGGGGUAACGGCCCACCAAGACUACGAUGGAUAGGGGUUCUGAGAGGAAGGUCCCCCACAUUGGAACUGAGACACGGUCCAAACUCCUACGGGAGGCAGCAGUGAGGAAUAUUGGUCAAUGGGCGAGAGCCUGAACCAGCCAAGUAGCGUGAAGGAUGAAGGCUCUAUGGGUCGUAAACUUCUUUUAUAUGGGAAUAAAGUUUUCCACGUGUGGAAUUUUGUAUGUACCAUAUGAAUAAGGAUCGGCUAACUCCGUGCCAGCAGCCGCGGUAAUACGGAGGAUCCGAGCGUUAUCCGGAUUUAUUGGGUUUAAAGGGAGCGUAGGUGGAUUGUUAAGUCAGUUGUGAAAGUUUGCGGCUCAACCGUAAAAUUGCAGUUGAAACUGGCAGUCUUGAGUACAGUAGAGGUGGGCGGAAUUCGUGGUGUAGCGGUGAAAUGCUUAGAUAUCACGAAGAACUCCGAUUGCGAAGGCAGCUCACUAGACUGUCACUGACACUGAUGCUCGAAAGUGUGGGUAUCAAACAGGAUUAGAUACCCUGGUAGUCCACACAGUAAACGAUGAAUACUCGCUGUUUGCGAUAUACAGUAAGCGGCCAAGCGAAAGCAUUAAGUA